UGGGGAAUCUUAGACAAUGGGGGCAACCCUGAUCUAGCCAUGCCGCGUGGAUGAUGAAGGCCUUAGGGUCGUAAAGUCCUUUCGCCGGGGAAGAUAAUGACGGUACCCGGUAAAGAAGCCCCGGCUAACUCCGUGCCAGCAGCCGCGGUAAUACGGAGGGGGCUAGCGUUGUUCGGAAUGACUGGGCGUAAAGCGCGCGUAGGCGGACCUGCAAGUCGGGGGUGAAAUCCCGGGGCUCAACCCCGGAAUGGCCUUCGAGACUGCCGGUCUUGAGUUCGAGAGAGGUGGGUGGAAUUCCGAGUGUAGAGGUGAAAUUCGUAGAUAUUCGGAGGAACACCAGUGGCGAAGGCGGCCCACUGGCUCGACACUGACGCUGAGGUGCGAAAGCGUGGGGAGCAAACAGG
Molecule: ribosomal RNA, 404 nt
Filed under: uncultured Rubellimicrobium sp.
Lineage: Bacteria; Pseudomonadati; Pseudomonadota; Alphaproteobacteria; Rhodobacterales; Roseobacteraceae
Description: bacterial SSU rRNA
Rfam family: Bacterial small subunit ribosomal RNA
Source: RNAcentral